This 579-nucleotide ribosomal RNA is filed under the name uncultured Cytophagia bacterium. RNAcentral describes it as "bacterial SSU rRNA". It matches the Rfam family "Bacterial small subunit ribosomal RNA", at positions 335 to 915 of the family's 1533-position model. Lineage: Bacteria; Pseudomonadati; Bacteroidota; Cytophagia. The record is from RNAcentral.
ACUCCUACGGGAGGCAGCAGUAGGGAAUAUUGGGCAAUGGAGGCAACUCUGACCCAGCCAUGCCGCGUGCAGGAAGAAGGCCUUCUGGGUUGUAAACUGCUUUUGAUCGGGAACAAAAGGCCCUUGCGAGGGACAUUGAGUGUACCGAUAGAAUAAGCACCGGCUAACUCCGUGCCAGCAGCCGCGGUAAUACGGAGGGUGCAAGCGUUGUCCGGAUUUAUUGGGUUUAAAGGGUGCGUAGGCGGUCCUUUAAGUCAGUGGUGAAAGCCAACAGCUCAACUGUUGAACUGCCAUUGAUACUGGAGGACUUGAGUACAGACGAGGUAGGCGGAAUUGACGGUGUAGCGGUGAAAUGCAUAGAUAUCGUCAAGAACACCGAUUGCGAAGGCAGCUUACUAGACUGUAACUGACGCUGAGGCACGAAAGUGUGGGGAUCAAACAGGAUUAGAUACCCUGGUAGUCCACACUGUAAACGAUGAUCACUCGAUGUGUGCGAUAUACAGUACGCGUCCAAGCGAAAGCGAUAAGUGAUCCACCUGGGGAGUACGAUCGCAAGAUUGAAACUCAAAGGAAUUGACG